This 96-nucleotide transfer RNA is filed under the name Armillaria gallica. It matches the Rfam family "tRNA". Rfam says of the family: Transfer RNA (tRNA) molecules are approximately 80 nucleotides in length. Lineage: Eukaryota; Fungi; Basidiomycota; Agaricomycetes; Agaricales; Physalacriaceae. The record is from Rfam by way of RNAcentral.
UUGAAUAUGGUGUAACGGCUAACAUUGCCGCCUCUCAUUCAAUUGACCCCGAUACUUCUUUCGCGGUAGCUCGGGGUUCGAUUCCCCGUAUCCGAA